UACGUAGGGACCAAGCGUUGUUCGGAUUUACUGGGCGUAAAGGGCGCGUAGGCGGCGCGGUAAGUCACUUGUGAAAUCUCUGAGCUUAACUCAGAACGGCCAAGUGAUACUGCAGUGCUAGAGUGCAGAAAGGGCAAUCGGAAUUCUUGGUGUAGCGGUGAAAUGCGUAGAUAUCAAGAGGAACACCUGAGGCGAAGGCGGGUUGCUAGGCUGACACUGACGCUGAGACGCGAAAGCGUGGGGAGCGAACAGG
RNAcentral lists this ribosomal RNA (253 nucleotides) under uncultured bacterium. RNAcentral describes it as "partial 16S ribosomal RNA". It matches the Rfam family "Bacterial small subunit ribosomal RNA", at positions 524 to 776 of the family's 1533-position model. The record is from RNAcentral.